RNAcentral lists this small RNA (127 nucleotides) under Marmota monax (woodchuck). The record is from RNAcentral. Lineage: Eukaryota; Metazoa; Chordata; Mammalia; Rodentia; Sciuridae.
GCUGGGCGUGGUGGUGCACACCUGUAAUCCCAGCAGCUCAGGAGGCUGACACAGGAGGAUCAUGAGUUCAAAGCCAGCCUCAGCAAUUUAGCGAGGCCCUAAGCAACUCAAUGAGACCUUGUCUCUA